ACGGCCAGGAGUGGACUGUCAUUGCCAGCAUGAGAGUGGGGCGGCAGUUCUCCAACUGCAGUUUCUCAUCAACGAGGGGGCUCUGGUCACAGCUUGUGCGGACGAUACGCUGCAUCUCUGGAAUUUGCGACAGCGACGUCCGGCUAUCCUACACUCUCUCAAAUUCAACAGAGAGCGGAUCACAUUUUGUCAUCUUCCGUUUCAAAGUAAGUGGCUUUACGUGGGGACAGAACGUGGAAAUACACACAUAGUGAACAUCGAAUCCUUCAUUUUAUCUGGAUAUGUCAUCAUGUGGAACAAGGCCAU
Long non-coding RNA from Sinocyclocheilus grahami, 306 nucleotides. RefSeq lists it as uncharacterized. The transcript is spliced from 3 exons. The record is from RefSeq and is a predicted model, not a curated record. NCBI's taxonomy places the organism in Eukaryota, Metazoa, Chordata, Actinopteri, Cypriniformes, Cyprinidae.